Cygnus olor (mute swan) is the source of this 442-nucleotide long non-coding RNA. RefSeq lists it as uncharacterized. NCBI's taxonomy places the organism in Eukaryota, Metazoa, Chordata, Aves, Anseriformes, Anatidae. The transcript has 4 exons. The record is from RefSeq and is a predicted model, not a curated record.
CCUUCUUAACUGCAUAACGGAAGAUACUAGGAUAGGUUUGGUUUCUGUGGUGUAGUCAAUUUUACUAGCAAGAGGUCAUUUCUGCAUGAAUGACUGGUUGAAGGACAGCAUCAUCAGAUGGGUGCCCUCAAGUGAAGUGGAGGUACAAGCUUAGACAAGAAGGUGUUCACAGAAGCUGGAGAAGACAGGUUGUGUCCAUCUUGCUGCUUUGUGUCAUACACAAGGUAUAACUGCUAGAAGGACCUGCCUAGACGUGCUGUGCAAAAGAUGCUGAGGGCAGCUUCUUCAUUAUCAGAUAUUUGGAUCAUCUCCAAAAAACAUCACUUUGACAGCUGGACUCCAUACAUUUUAAACCAUGAGGAAAAUUAAAAAUACAUCCAAUGUUUUCAGUUAUUUUUACUAGUUCUAGUAAACAUUUACAAGUCUGUGCUUUAUGACAUGU